UCCUGUGUGGCUCAGUUGGUAGAGCAUGGUACUUGCAAUGCUAGGGCUGUUAAUUCGAUUCCCACAGGGA
RNAcentral lists this transfer RNA (70 nucleotides) under Salmo salar (Atlantic salmon). It matches the Rfam family "tRNA". From Rfam's summary of the family: Transfer RNA (tRNA) molecules are approximately 80 nucleotides in length. Their secondary structure includes four short double-helical elements and three loops (D, anti-codon, and T loops). The record is from Rfam by way of RNAcentral. Lineage: Eukaryota; Metazoa; Chordata; Actinopteri; Salmoniformes; Salmonidae. RNAcentral also lists the same sequence under 1 other name.